Molecule: ribosomal RNA, 272 nt
Filed under: uncultured prokaryote
Description: partial 16S ribosomal RNA
Rfam family: Bacterial small subunit ribosomal RNA
Source: RNAcentral
UACGUAGGGUGCGAGCGUUGUCCGGAAUUACUGGGCGUAAAGAGCUCGUAGGUGGUUUGUCACGUCGUCUGUGAAAUUCCGGGGCUUAACCUCGGGCGUGCAGGCGAUACGGGCAAUACUUGAGUGCUGUAGGGGAGACUGGAAUUCCUGGUGUAGCGGUGAAAUGCGCAGAUAUCAGGAGGAACACCAAUGGCGAAGGCAGGUCUCUGGGCCGUUACUGACGCUGAGGAGCGAAAGCAUGGGGAGCGAACGGGAUUAGAUACCCGGGUAGU